GGAAGUAAAAGUCGUAACAAGGAUCAUUACCACACCUAAAAAACUUUCCACGUGAACCGUUUCAACCCAAUAGUUGGGGGUCUUAUUUGGCGGCGGCUGCUGGCUUAAUUGUUGGCGGCUGCUGCUGAGUGAGCCCUAUCAAAAAAAAGGCGAACGUUUGGGCUUCGGCCUGAUUUAGUAGUCUUUUUUUGUUUUAAACCCAUUCCUUAAUACUGAAUAUACUGUGGGGACAAAAGUCUCUGCUUUUAACUAGAUAGCAACUUUCAGCAGUGGAUGUCUAGGCUCGCACAUCGAUGAAAAACGCUGCGAACUGCGAUACGUAAUGCGAAUUGCAGGAUUCAGUGAGUCAUCGAAAUUUUGAACGCAUAUUGCACUUCCGGGUUAGUCCUGGAAGUAUGCCUGUAUCAGAGUCCGCACAUUAAACUUGACUUUCUUCCUUUCGCGUAGUCGGGGGAGGAGAUGUCAGAUGUGAAGUGUCUUGCGAUUGGUCUUCGGACCGGCUGCGAGUCCUUUUAAAUGUACUAAACUGAACUUCUCUUUGCUCUAAAAGCGGUGGCGUUGCUGGUUGUGAAGGCUGCUAUUGUGGCAAAUUGGCGACUGGUUUGUCUGCUGCGGCGUUAAUGGAAGAGAGUUCGAUUCGUGGUAUGGUUGGCUUCGGCUGAACAAUGCACUUAUUGGACGCUUUUCCUGCUGUGGGGUGAUGGACUGGGGAACCAUACUCGGGGGCUUGGCUUUUGAAUUGGCUUUGCUGUUGCGAAAAAGGUGGCAGCUUCGUUUGUCGAGGGUCGAUCCAUUUGGGAACCUAAUGUGUGCUUCGGAUGCAUCUCAAAUGGGGCCCGGUAUCAGGCAAGAAUACCCCUGACUUA
This is a ribosomal RNA of 866 nucleotides. The stretch from base 259 to 413 matches the Rfam family "5.8S ribosomal RNA".